This 72-nucleotide transfer RNA is filed under the name Aridibacter sp. RNAcentral's name for it is "tRNA-Thr". It matches the Rfam family "tRNA". From Rfam's summary of the family: Transfer RNA (tRNA) molecules are approximately 80 nucleotides in length. Their secondary structure includes four short double-helical elements and three loops (D, anti-codon, and T loops). RNAcentral also lists the same sequence under 1 other name. Lineage: Bacteria; Pseudomonadati; Acidobacteriota; Blastocatellia; Blastocatellales; Blastocatellaceae. The record is from RNAcentral.
GCCGAUGUAGCUCAGGGGUAGAGCAACUGAUUUGUAAUCAGUAGGUCGCGGGUUCAAAUCCCAUCAUCGGCU